CAGGUGCACUGGAGGAAAAUGGUAGUGUCAGAAUGGGAUAGAGCCCAAGUCACAGACCCAUCGUCUAAAGCCAUUUUGUGCCAUCCCUCCACCCACGACUCACCCACCUUCCAUGACCUUUCUGCCAAUAAUAUAUCAAUGGGUGGCCCGAAUAGUAGGUUUGGAGAGCUUCAGAGUUGGAGAACACAUCAACGGACUGGGAGGGUAGCACACCCCAACUCCAGGAAGACAGGGAAUCUCCGGACCUUGUCCCGGGUACCUCUACAUCUGGCUGUUCAUGUGCAUCCUUUACAGUGA
Molecule: long non-coding RNA, 297 nt
Organism: Orcinus orca (killer whale)
Lineage: Eukaryota; Metazoa; Chordata; Mammalia; Artiodactyla; Delphinidae
Exons: 3
Source: RefSeq, a predicted model, not a curated record